Molecule: ribosomal RNA, 1525 nt
Filed under: Listeria monocytogenes
Lineage: Bacteria; Bacillati; Bacillota; Bacilli; Caryophanales; Listeriaceae
Description: partial 23S ribosomal RNA
Rfam family: Bacterial large subunit ribosomal RNA
Source: RNAcentral
UUGGUUAAGUUAGAAAGGGCGCACGGUGGAUGCCUUGGCACUAGGAGCCGAAGAAGGACGGGACUAACACCGAUAUGCUUUGGGGAGCUGUACGUAAGCGUUGAUCCAGAGAUUUCCGAAUGGGGGAACCCACUAUCUUUAGUCGGAUAGUAUCCUUACGUGAAUACAUAGCGUGAGGAAGGCAGACCCAGGGAACUGAAACAUCUAAGUACCUGGAGGAAGAGAAAGAAAAAUCGAUUUCCUGAGUAGCGGCGAGCGAAACGGAAAGAGCCCAAACCAAGAAGCUUGCUUCUUGGGGUUGUAGGACACUCUAUACGGAGUUACAAAAGAAAGUUAUAAAUGAAGCGGUCUGGAAAGGCCCGCCAAAGACGGUAACAGCCCGGUAGUUGAAAUAGCUUUCCCUCCAGAGUGGAUCCUGAGUACGGCGGAACACGUGAAAUUCCGUCGGAAUCCGGGAGGACCAUCUCCCAAGGCUAAAUACUCCCUAGUGACCGAUAGUGAACCAGUACCGUGAGGGAAAGGUGAAAAGCACCCCGGAAGGGGAGUGAAACAGUUCCUGAAACCGUGUGCCUACAAGUAGUUAGAGCCCGUUAAUGGGUGAUAGCGUGCCUUUUGUAGAAUGAACCGGCGAGUUACGAUUUGUUGCAAGGUUAAGCGGAAAAAGCGGAGCCGUAGCGAAAGCGAGUCUGAAUAGGGCGCAUAAGUAACAGGUCGUAGACCCGAAACCAGGUGAUCUACCCAUGUCCAGGAUGAAGGUAAGGUAAUACUUACUGGAGGUCCGAACCCACGCACGUUGAAAAGUGCGGGGAUGAGGUGUGGGUAGCGGAGAAAUUCCAAUCGAACUUGGAGAUAGCUGGUUCUCUCCGAAAUAGCUUUAGGGCUAGCCUCGAGGUAAAGAGUCAUGGAGGUAGAGCACUGUUUGGACUAGGGGCCCUUCUCGGGUUACCGAAUUCAGAUAAACUCCGAAUGCCAUGUACUUAUACUCGGGAGUCAGACUGCGAGUGAUAAGAUCCGUAGUCGAAAGGGAAACAGCCCAGACCACCAGUUAAGGUCCCCAAAUAUAUGUUAAGUGGAAAAGGAUGUGGGGUUGCUUAGACAACCAGGAUGUUGGCUUAGAAGCAGCCACCAUUGAAAGAGUGCGUAAUAGCUCACUGGUCGAGUGACCCCGCGCCGAAAAUGUACCGGGGCUAAACAUAUUACCGAAACUGUGGAUGAACCUCUUUAGAGGUUCGUGGUAGGAGAGCGUUCUAAGGGCGGUGAAGUCAGACCGGAAGGACUGGUGGAGCGCUUAGAAGUGAGAAUGCCGGUAUGAGUAGCGAAAGAAGGGUGAGAAUCCCUUCCACCGAAUAUCUAAGGUUUCCUGAGGAAGGCUCGUCCGCUCAGGGUUAGUCGGGACCUAAGCCGAGGCCGAUAGGCGUAGGCGAUGGACAACAGGUAGAGAUUCCUGUACCAGUGCUAAUUGUUUAACCGAUGGGGUGACACAGAAGGAUAGGGAAUCGCACGAAUGGAAAUGUGCGUCCAAGCA